UACCUGCAGCUCAAGUGGUGGCCGUUAUUAUUGGGCCUAAAACGUCCGUAGCCGGUUUAUUAAAUGCCUGGGUAAAUCGGGCCGCUUAACGGUUCGAAUUCCGGGUAGACUGAUGGACUUGGGACCGGGAGAAGCUAGAGGUACUCCUGGGGUAGAGGUGAAAUUCUGUAAUCCUAGGGGGACCAUCAGUGGCGAAGGCGUCUAGCUAGAACGGGUCUGACGGUGAGGGACGAAGCCCUGGGGCGCAAACCGGAUUAGAUACCCGGGUAGUCCAGGGUGUAAACGCUGCUUGCUUGAUGUUAGUCGGGCUCCGAGCCCGAUUAGCGUCGGAGAGAAGUUGUUAAGCAAGCCGCCUGGGAAGUACGGCCGCAAGACUGAAACUUAAAGAAAUUGGCGGGGGAGCACAGCAACGGGUGGAGCGUGCGGUUU
RNAcentral lists this ribosomal RNA (429 nucleotides) under uncultured archaeon. RNAcentral's name for it is "bacterial SSU rRNA". It matches the Rfam family "Archaeal small subunit ribosomal RNA", at positions 474 to 903 of the family's 1478-position model. The record is from RNAcentral.